AUCCGUCUGACGAGUCCCAAAUAGGACAAAACGUGCUUCAUGGGU
Molecule: non-coding RNA, 45 nt
Filed under: Schistosoma mansoni
Lineage: Eukaryota; Metazoa; Platyhelminthes; Trematoda; Strigeidida; Schistosomatidae
Source: RNAcentral